AAGGAUCAUUACCGAACUGUCAACACGAGUUGUUGCUGGUCCUCAAACGGGGACAUGUGCACGGUCUGUUUACACAUCCACUCACACCUGUGCACCCUCCAUAGUUCUGCAGCCUGGGGGCUCUGUCUCCCUGGCGUGGGUCUAUGUAUUUACACACACACUGUAGUAAAGUCUCAUGGAAUGCAUACCGCGUUUAACGCAAUAUAAUACAACUUUCAGCAACGGAUCUCUUGGCUCUCGCAUCGAUGAAGAACGCAGCGAAAUGCGAUAAGUAAUGUGAAUUGCAGAAUUCAGUGAAUCAUCGAAUCUUUGAACGCACCUUGCGCCCUUUGGCUAUUCCGAAGGGCAUGCCUGUUUGAGUAUCAUGAACACCUCAACUCUCAUGGCUUUGCCAUGAUGAGCUUGGACUUUGGGGGUCUUGCUGGCCUGUGGGUCGGCUCCUCUCAAAUGAAUUAGCUUGCCAGUGUUUGGUGGCAUCACGGGUGUGAUAACUAUCUACGCUUGUGGUUUUCCACCAGGUAACCUUCAGUGAUGAAGGUUCGCUGGGGCUCAUAAACGUCUCUCCUCAGCGAGGA
RNAcentral lists this ribosomal RNA (575 nucleotides) under uncultured Thelephoraceae. RNAcentral's name for it is "eukaryotic LSU rRNA". The stretch from base 211 to 365 matches the Rfam family "5.8S ribosomal RNA". The record is from RNAcentral. Lineage: Eukaryota; Fungi; Basidiomycota; Agaricomycetes; Thelephorales; Thelephoraceae.